UUCACUGGGUGCUUUGCCUUAAGUUGUGUA
Molecule: non-coding RNA, 30 nt
Filed under: Mus musculus (house mouse)
Lineage: Eukaryota; Metazoa; Chordata; Mammalia; Rodentia; Muridae
Source: RNAcentral